Molecule: long non-coding RNA, 1118 nt
Filed under: Equus caballus (horse)
Lineage: Eukaryota; Metazoa; Chordata; Mammalia; Perissodactyla; Equidae
Description: lncRNA (ENSECAG00000045829.1)
Source: RNAcentral
GGCAUGCUUUGGUUAGAGUAUCUAAGCUUUAAAGGCUUUUGACAUAUCUCAUUAGACUGCCUUCCAGGAAGGUUUUGUCAAUUUUCAUUCCAAACAUUAGUUCCAGAAAAUUCAAGUUUCUCUGUACACCCACUGACACUGGGUAUCAUUGCUCUCUCAGACCUUCUGCUACAUGCACGCAAACAACUGUGGACUUUAUCAUUGUCAGUGCCCAGCAUCCACUCCUUUUUCUUCUGGUAACAGUAUCUCUAAUUUCCUUUGGGAACCACGCCUUCCAAACUCUCAAUUUCAGUUUGAAGGACCUGACAUAUUCCUCCAGCUCCAGGCAUAGGCAAGUGACCACUGCCUAGCUCAUCAUUGUCCCAUGGAUGCCCAGCCACAGGGAUUGGCUCAAGGAGGAGCAUGCGACCUUACCAGCCCAAUGAGAACCAACUCCUGGACUUCUCCUGGAAUAUUGAACAAGAGUUCUUUAUUCCUCCUGAGUUUACUAAACUGGUGGGAUGUAAGCCUGAAACUUCUGGAGACCACAUGGAGAGGUCCUACCUGAGAAGGAAGCCUACACAAAAGAAAACAGCCAAGGCAUGAAGAAAUGAAUGACAGCAUCUUUGGGAACAUCAUUUGAGAAUGCCCCUGGAUCUAGCUAUAUCUGAAGCAAGUCAACCUUCUUGAAUUCCUUGGUUAUAAAUAAUACUGAUGAAUAUGGAAACUUCCAGAGCAUCCCCUUAGGAGCUGCCAGAUCAGAAUUCUCUGGAUCAUUGCUAUGGAGUAAUCAGUGGUGCCCCACUCUCCCCACUCCAGGCACUUGGUAGGACUACUCUGCCCAUUCCUUCUUAUGUUCGAAAUAACUGCGAAUUGCUUUGGCCAAUGAAAUGUUGACAAGAAGAGACCUGUAUCAUUUCCAGGUAGAAGUUUUAAAAGCCUGUGUGUGGUUUGCCACCUUCUUUCUCCCCUGCCUCAGUGAACUUGGAAGUCGGGGUCUAGAUGGAUCCCCUAUUAGCUUGGUCCUUGAGUGACCACUAUGAACAGAGACCCUUGCCGACCCACAAUGGAUGUGUAACAUGAGUGAGAAAUAUGCUUUCUUUGUGUUAAGCCACUGAGAUAUAGCUGUUGAUUAUUAC